Neofelis nebulosa (Clouded leopard) is the source of this 860-nucleotide long non-coding RNA. RefSeq lists it as uncharacterized. The record is from RefSeq and is a predicted model, not a curated record. NCBI's taxonomy places the organism in Eukaryota, Metazoa, Chordata, Mammalia, Carnivora, Felidae. The transcript has 2 exons.
AGAAUGUUCUUAAUGAUCAUGCUGUUGGACCAGAGCAGGAGACUUGUUCAAGACUACAGAGCUCAUUAUCAGCUGGCCCAGGAAGAACCCCUGCCUUGACCUCCUUCAUCCUUUCAUGUGGGGUGGCCCUGUCUCCUCCUCAGGGACCUACUGACCGGUGAAUGGCCUAUCAAUUGUAAACUGACUCUGAAAGGCAUUGAACCCAUGGGGGAACUGCUAGGAAAUGAGAACAAUCUCCCACUGUACUGGGUUGAAUGGUAGCUCACCAAAAAGAUGUCGACGUGUCAGAAUCCGUGAUGGUGACCUUAUUUGGAAGAAGGGUCUAUGCAAGAUGUAGUUAAGGAUCUCGAGAUUAUCCUGGAUUAGCCGGGUCAUCCAGUUUAAUGGCAAGACAGAAAAGAGAAGACAGACACGGAGAAGAAGGCCAUGUGAAGACAGAGACAGAGAUUAGAGACGCUGCCACGAGCCAGGAAACACCAGGAGCCGCCAGGAGCUGGAAGAGGCAAGGAAGGAUUCUCCCCUACCGCCUUUGGAGGAACAGCCCUCCCAACAUCUUGAUUUUGGACUUCCAGCCUCCAGAACUGUGAGAAUGAAUUUUUGUUGUUUGAAGCCACCAAGUUGUGGUAAUCUUUUAUGACCUUCCUAUUUUCCUAGGAAAUUCAUAUGCUCCCCCCCCCUUUAAAAAAAUGACACUGACUUUUUUAAAAGUCUAGGAAUUGUUGUAUUAUUGAAUGUCCCAAUUCUGAAAUUGUCUUCAGAUUGACCUUUUAAAGUCAUAAAUCAGAUCAAGUCAUUCCCUUGCUUAAAACCCUCCAACGGCUUUUCAUUGCAUUAAAAUAAAAUAAGCUAUAAACUCUUUA